Molecule: ribosomal RNA, 253 nt
Filed under: uncultured bacterium
Lineage: Bacteria
Description: partial 16S ribosomal RNA
Rfam family: Bacterial small subunit ribosomal RNA
Source: RNAcentral
UACGUAGGGGGCAAGCGUUGUCCGGAAUCAUUGGGCGUAAAGCGCGUGUAGGCGGCCCGAUAAGUCCGCUGUGAAAGUCCAGGGCUCAACCCUGGGAUGCCGGUGGAUACUGUCGGGCUCGAGUCCGGAAGAGGCGAGUGGAAUUCCUGGUGUAGCGGUGAAAUGCGCAGAUAUCAGGAGGAACACCGGUGGCGAAGGCGGGAUCCUGGGCCAGUACUGACGCUGAGGAGCGAAAGCGUGGGGAGCAAACAGG